Molecule: non-coding RNA, 101 nt
Filed under: Acinetobacter baumannii ATCC 17978
Lineage: Bacteria; Pseudomonadati; Pseudomonadota; Gammaproteobacteria; Moraxellales; Moraxellaceae
Description: traJ-II RNA
Rfam family: traJ-II RNA
Source: RNAcentral
AGGCAAGAUGUGUAAUGUUAUAUAACAUGGCAAGCCUUGGUUAUAUAAAUUACCCGACUUAUUCGCUUUCAGCUCAACGUGGCAUCUUGUCCUGCGGAGCU